Molecule: ribosomal RNA, 3228 nt
Filed under: Durio zibethinus
Lineage: Eukaryota; Viridiplantae; Streptophyta; Magnoliopsida; Malvales; Malvaceae
Description: eukaryotic LSU rRNA
Rfam family: Eukaryotic large subunit ribosomal RNA
Source: RNAcentral
AUAACCCCAGGUCAGGCGAGAUUACCUACUGAGUUUAAGCAUAUUAAUAAGUAGAGAAAAAUAAACUUACUAGGUUUCCCCUAGUAAUGGUAAACGAACCAAGAAUAAUCAAACUUGAUAAUCAGGUGCCCAUAGCAUUUGAAUUAUUGCUUGGAAAAGUGUCCUUAGUGAUGGAUCAAAGCCAAAGUACCCUAAAAAGGGGAGACAGAGAGGGUGAGAGUCCUAAAUGGGUAGUAAAUUCUAUCCAAGGCUAAAUACAAGUGAGAACCCAAUAGUGAACAAAUAUCGCAAGGGAAAGAUGAAAUGGACUUUGGAAAGAGAGUCAAUGAGUACUUGAAAUUGUCAAGAGGGAAGUAGAUAGGGGCCGAUGAUGCACCCUGAUUAAAUGUGGUAUAAUGAGAGCUGGUUUAUUGAUCAGCUCAAGGAAUGGAUUAACACAGGUCAUAGUAGCGAUCCAAGCCUAAGCUUUUGUUAUGCCCAUAGAGACAUCAUCGCCAUGAUCAUGGAAUGCACAUGUGCCAUCUCGGCAUGCCUCAGCACCAGCAUGCUCUUAGCAUUGGCCUGUAAGCUCCCUAUCUAGCCUAUCUUGAAACACAGACCAAGGAGUUGACAUGUGUAUAAGUCAACAAGCUAGAAAACUAGUAAGGCGCAAGGAAGUUGAUUGGCAGGAUCUCUUACAAGUGCACCAUUGGAUAACCUUGAUCUUUUGAGAAGGUUUUAAGUGUUUGCAUGCUUAUUGGGACUCGAAAGAUGGUGAACAAUGCCUAAAUGGGUCAAAGCUAAAGGAAACUCUAGUAAAGGCCUACAACAAUAUUGACAUGCAAAUCAUUCAUCUGAAUUGGGUAUAGGGGCAAAAGACUAAUUGAAUCAUCUAGUAGCUGGCUCCCUUUGAAGUUCUCUAAAGAUAGUUGGAGCCCUUAGUGAGUUUUAUUGGGUAAAGCCAAUGAUUAGAGGUAUUGAGGGCACAAUGCCCUUGACCUAUUCUCAAACUUUAAAUAGGUAGGAUGGCGUGACUGUUUUGUUAAGCUAUGCCAUGGAAUCAAGAGCUCCAAGUGGGCCAUUUUUGGUAUGCGAAAUUGUCAAUGCAAGAUGAAUCAAAAACUAGGUUACUGUGCCCAAUUACAUUGCUAACCUUGAACCCACAAAGGGUGUUGGUCAAUGAAGACACCAGGAUGAUGGUCAUGGAAGUCGAAAUCCACUAAGGAGUUUUAACAACUCACCUACCGAAUCAACUAGCCUUGAAAAUAGAUGGUGUUUAAACGCACAACUUAUUCUUGGUUGUUGAGGUAAGGGCCAGGCCCUAAUGAGUAUGAAAGUGUAUCAGUUGCCGUAAAACCUAGGGCAUAAGCUUGAGUAGAGCAGCCAUUAGUCCAGACCUUGGUGGUAGUAGCAAAUAUUCAAAUGAGAACUUUAAGGGCCAAUGAGGGGAAAGAUUCCAUGUGAAUGGGACUUACACAUGGGUUAGUCUAUCCUAAGAGACAAGUAAAACCCAUUCAACAGCAUGUCUAGCGCAAGCUUUGAAAGGGAGUUGGGUUAAAAUUCAUGAACUAGGAUGCAUCAGCUAAUAGCAACAUUAGGAAGUCCAAAGACAUCGAUGGGGGCCUCAAGAAGAGUUAUCUUUUUUGUUUAAUAGCCUACCCACCCUAAAAAUAGCUCAAUCGAAAGUAGGGUCUAGUUGCCAGAAGAGCACUGCACGUCACAUGGUGUUUAGUGCACGCUUGACUGCUCUUGAAAAUUUGGAGGAUUAGGUGUUGACCAUACCUAAUCAUACUUAUAACUACAUAACGUCUCCAUGGUGAACAACCUCUAGUUGAUGGAACAAUGUAGGUAAAGGAAGUCGACAAAAAUGGAUCCAUAACCUUGAGAAAAGGAUUGGCUCUAUGGAUUGGCAUGGGGUUUCCCAUCUUGAACCCAUUGGUUGUUGAUGCACUGCUUGAGCUACUCCCAUAAUAAGAGUGAGUCACUGCAUGCCAAUCGAGGGAUGGACUGGAAACGACUUAUUCGGGGGCCUUCCCCAAGCAUCGAAUAGUCAACUCAAAACUGGUAUGGAUGAGGGGAAUCUAACUAUUUAAUUAAAACAAAAGCAUUGUGAUGGUCCUUACAAAUGCUCACACAAUGUGAUUUUUACCUAGUGGUUUGAAUGUCAAAGUGAAAAAAUUCAACCAAGCACUGGCAAACAGUGGGAGUAACUAUAACUCUCUUAAAGGAGCCAAAUGCCUCAUCAUCAAAUUAGUGUUACGCAUGAAUAAAUUAACGAGAUUCUCACUAUCCCUAUUUACUAUCUAGCAAAACCACAACCAAGGGAAUGAGCUUAGCAGAAUUAGUUUGGAAAUGAGACCUUGUUGAGCUUAACUCUAGUUCGACUUUGUGAAAUGACUUGAGAAGAGUACAAUAGGUGGGAGCUGUAGGGAGCAAUUGAAAUACAACUACUUUUAACAUUAUUUUACUUAUUCCAUGAAUUGAAGGUAAGACACAACCCCUUCUUUUGGUCCCAAGACCGACCUCAGUCAGUCAAUAUGGGCAGAAGACAUUGUCAGGUGAGGAGAUUGGUUGGGGUGGCACAUUUGUUAAAAGAUAACACAGGCAUUCUAAAUUAAGCUCAAUGAGAACAAAAAUCUCAUGUGGAACAAAAGGGAAAAUGCUUGUUUGAUUCUAAUUUCCAAUACGAAUACAAACCAUAAAAGUGUGGCCUAUUGAUCUUUUAAACCUUUAAAAUUUGAAGCUAGAGGUGUCAGAAAAGUUACAAUAGGGAUAACUAGCUUAUGGCAGCCAAGCGUUAUAGUGACACUGCUUUUUGAUCCCUCAAUGUUAGCUAUUCCUAUCAUUGUGAAGUAGAAUUCACCAAGUGUUGGAUUGUUUACCCACAAAUGGGGAACAUGAGCUAAGUUUAGACCAUCAUGAGAUAGGUUAGUUUUACCCUACUAAUGGUAGCGUCACAACAGUAAUUCAACCUAGUAUAGGAUGAACCAUUGAUUAGCACAAUUGGUCAUUGCACUUGGUUGAAAAGCUAGUGGCAUGAAGCUAUCAUGUGUUGGAUUAUGACUAAAUACCUCUAAGUUAAAAUCUAGGCUAAAAGUGAAGCACACACCCAUUGCCCAAUUGCUGACCAUAGUAGGGGCCCAUGGCCCCCAAAGGUACAUGUUGUAGGUACAACCCCCAAGGUGGAUAAGCCGUAUAGGCAUCAUUGGAGCUCAAUUCCCAUCAAGCAAUGGGUAGAAUCCUUUGUAG